RNAcentral lists this ribosomal RNA (322 nucleotides) under uncultured soil bacterium. RNAcentral describes it as "bacterial SSU rRNA". It matches the Rfam family "Bacterial small subunit ribosomal RNA", at positions 26 to 345 of the family's 1533-position model. The record is from RNAcentral.
AGAGUGAACGCUGGCGGCAGGCCUAACACAUGCAAGUCGAACGGCAGCACAGGGGAGCUUGCUCCCUGGGUGGCGAGUGGCGGACGGGUGAGGAAAACGUCGGAAUCUGCCUAUUUGUGGGGGAUAACGUAGGGAAACUUACGCUAAUACCGCAUACGACCUACGGGUGAAAGCGGAGGACCUUCGGGCUUCGCGCAGAUAGAUGAGCCGAGUCGGAUUAGCUAGGUUGGCGGGGUAAAGCCCACCAAGGCGACGAUCCGUAGCUGGUCUGAGAGGAUGAUCAGCCACACUGGAACUGAGACACGGUCCAGACUCCUACGGG